This 244-nucleotide ribosomal RNA is filed under the name uncultured archaeon. Its description in RNAcentral is "partial 16S ribosomal RNA". It matches the Rfam family "Archaeal small subunit ribosomal RNA", at positions 345 to 591 of the family's 1478-position model. The record is from RNAcentral.
AAUCUUCACAAUGCGCGCAAGCGUGAUGAGGGAAUCCCAGGUGCCCUUGCACUGCAAGGGCUUUUGUGGAGUGUAAAAAGCUCUACGAAUAAGGGCUGGGCAAGACCAGUGCCAGCCUCCGCGGUAACACUGGCAGCUCGAGUGGUGGUCGUUUUAUUGGGCUCAAAGCAUCCGUAGCCGGUUUAGCAAGUCCCCUGUGAAAUCCUGCCGCUUAACGGUAGGGCUUGCGGAGGAUACUACUAGA